This 368-nucleotide ribosomal RNA is filed under the name Phelsuma parkeri. RNAcentral's name for it is "partial 12S ribosomal RNA". It matches the Rfam family "Bacterial small subunit ribosomal RNA", at positions 856 to 1388 of the family's 1533-position model. The record is from RNAcentral. Lineage: Eukaryota; Metazoa; Chordata; Lepidosauria; Squamata; Gekkonidae.
UCUACCAAUUUGCUCGCCAGAAAAUUACACGCGAAAGCACAAAAUUCAAAGGACUUGACGGUGUUCCAUAUCAGCCUAGAGGAGCCUGUCCUGUAAUCGACAAUCCACGUUAUACCUCACCCACUUUUGAUACAACAGCCUAUAUACCGCCGUCGUCAGCCCAUCUAAUGAUAGAACCAAAAUGAGCAAAAGUGUAUAUCACCAAAACGUCAGGUCAAGGUGUAGCUAAUAAGUGGGCAUGAGAUGGGCUACAUUUUUUAGACUUAAAAAAUACAGCAAGAAACAUGAAACAUAGACUAUUAAAGGUGGAUUUAGCAGUAAAUAUGUGCAAGAGUGCCAUAUUGAACUUAGCUCUGGAACGCGUACAU